Long non-coding RNA from Balaenoptera musculus (blue whale), 514 nucleotides. RefSeq lists it as uncharacterized. The transcript has 3 exons. The record is from RefSeq and is a predicted model, not a curated record. Lineage: Eukaryota; Metazoa; Chordata; Mammalia; Artiodactyla; Balaenopteridae.
UGUGGCGGAGCGCACCGUGGCGGCUAGGUCGCAGGUCGCAGGCGGCGGUGUGUGUGCGCCGCCCUCCCUGACGCCUCACCCCGAAUCCCCCCUGCGCCUGCAGGCCGGCGCGAUGCGGCGCCGCUUCUGGGGCAUGUUCAGCUGCCCGUGCGCCGGCGCCGAUGCGUUUGGGGCCUUGGCUGCCGCCUCCGCCAAGCUGGCCUUGGGCAGUGACGUGGAGCUGGAGCACGGCUGUGGCGGCCGGCAGGUCUUGCUGUCUCUAAGCUGAACCUGGUCACCUUUGUGGGACAAAGGAAAGAGCCCUGAGAUGUGAAGAAAAGGAGACAACAGUCACACCCAGGUUGGCAUUUCAGCGUUUCAAGGUCUUUUGCCUGUGGGUAUGGUGGGAACAGGUGAAGGAGCUGUGCUGAUGUCGUUGAAGGCAUAUUCUCAAGAUGCUGAUGUGAUUCCUCAACGUGAUAUCAAUGAGAAAAUGACCAAGAGCAGGAGGAAGAAGAGGACGAAAUGGCAGUUU